CCUCCUUAUACGAUUUAGAACUUAUUUGUUCGUAGUGUCCACACAGAUGAUUGUUAGUUAGUUUCACCUUUGGGUUUAACUGAUUAAUAUGCUCUUUAAAAAUUUGGAAAAGCUGAUAAUAAAAUUCGUAUGAAUACAGUGUAUUUGUACAGAGUUUUCAAAAGUAAAAAAGAAUGAUAGCAGUAUCACUCAGUGCCAUUUAAUAGACGUUUCGUUUGUUGAUUGGUAUCUACUUUAGUAUUCAAUAUUAACUUCUGGCGAAGUUAAACUGUCACAAAACAAAGACCCGUUUGGGUUGUAUGGUUAAGUGACUAAGCGUACACGGUGGAUGC
This 332-nucleotide unclassified non-coding RNA is filed under the name uncultured Pseudoalteromonas sp. RNAcentral's name for it is "partial 16S-23S ribosomal RNA intergenic spacer". The record is from RNAcentral. Lineage: Bacteria; Pseudomonadati; Pseudomonadota; Gammaproteobacteria; Alteromonadales; Pseudoalteromonadaceae.